AGACAGCAGUAGCCGCGGUAAAACGGAGGGUGCAAGCGUUAAUCGGAAUUACUGGGCGUAAAGCGCACGCAGGCGGUCUGACAAGUCAGAUGUGAAAUCCCCGGGCUUAACCUGGGAACUGCAUUUGAAACUGUCAGGCUGGAGUCUUGUAGAGGGGGGUAGAAUUCCAGGUGUAGCGGUGAAAUGCGUAGAGAUCUGGAGGAAUACCGGUGGCGAAGGCGGCCCCCUGGACAAAGACUGACGCUCAGGUGCGAAAGCGUGGGGAGCAAACAGGAUUAGAUACCCCUGUAGUCCCUGUCUCUUAUAC
RNAcentral lists this ribosomal RNA (307 nucleotides) under uncultured bacterium. RNAcentral describes it as "partial 16S ribosomal RNA". It matches the Rfam family "Bacterial small subunit ribosomal RNA", at positions 506 to 807 of the family's 1533-position model. The record is from RNAcentral.